RNAcentral lists this ribosomal RNA (253 nucleotides) under uncultured bacterium. RNAcentral's name for it is "partial 16S ribosomal RNA". It matches the Rfam family "Bacterial small subunit ribosomal RNA", at positions 524 to 776 of the family's 1533-position model. The record is from RNAcentral.
UCCGUAGGGUGCAAGCGUUGUCCGGAAUUAUUGGGCGUAAAGAGCUCGUAGGCGGUUUGUCGCGUCUGCUGUGAAAACUCGGGGCUUAACUCCGGGCCGGCAGUGGGUACGGGCAGACUAGAGUGCGGUAGGGGAGACUGGAAUUCCUGGUGUAGCGGUGAAAUGCGCAGAUAUCAGGAGGAACACCGGUGGCGAAGGCGGGUCUCUGGGCCGUAACUGACGCUGAGGAGCGAAAGCGUGGGGAGCGAACAGG